CAGUGAGGAAUAUUGCGCAAUGGGGGAAACCCUGACGCAGCGACGCCGCGUGGGUGAGGAAGGCUUUCGGGUCGUAAAGCUCUGUCAGAAGGGAAGAAAUGCUUAUAGGCUAAUAUCUUGUAAGUUUGACGGUACCUUCAAAGGAAGCACCGGCUAACUCCGUGCCAGCAGCCGCGGUAAUACGGAGGGUGCAAGCGUUGUUCGGAAUCACUGGGCGUAAAGGGCGCGUAGGCGGCUUGGCAAGUCAGAUGUGAAAGCCCACGGCUUAACCGUGGAAGUGCAUUUGAAACUGCUUGGCUUGAGUAUCAGAGGGGAAAGUGGAAUUCCCGGUGUAGAGGUGAAAUUCGUAGAUAUCGGGAGGAAUACCGGUGGCGAAGGCGACUUUCUGGCUGAAUACUGACGCUGAGGCGCGAAAGCGUGGGGAGCAAACAGGAUUAGAUACCCUGGUAGUCCACGCCGUAAACGAUGUCAACUAGGUGCAGGGGGUGUUGAUCCCCUCUGUGUCGCAGCUAACGCAUUAAGUUGACCGCCUGGGGAGUACGGUCGCAAGAUUAAAACUCAAAGGAAUUGACGG
RNAcentral lists this ribosomal RNA (574 nucleotides) under uncultured bacterium. RNAcentral describes it as "bacterial SSU rRNA". It matches the Rfam family "Bacterial small subunit ribosomal RNA", at positions 352 to 916 of the family's 1533-position model. The record is from RNAcentral.